RNAcentral lists this small nuclear RNA (107 nucleotides) under Aotus nancymaae (Ma's night monkey). Lineage: Eukaryota; Metazoa; Chordata; Mammalia; Primates; Aotidae. The record is from RNAcentral.
GUGCUCACUUUGGCAGCACAUAUGCUAACAUGGGAACCAUACAGAAAAGAUUAGCAUGGACCCUGCACAAGGAUGACAUGCAAGUUCGUGAAGCCGUCCAUAUUUUU